Elaeis guineensis (African oil palm) is the source of this 72-nucleotide non-coding RNA. NCBI's taxonomy places the organism in Eukaryota, Viridiplantae, Streptophyta, Magnoliopsida, Arecales, Arecaceae. The record is from the annotation of a RefSeq genome assembly.
GCUCCUAUGGCUCAUUGGCAGAGCUUCAGUCUUGGAAACUGAAGGUCCGUAGUUCGAUUCUGCGUGGGGGCA